UCACUAUUCAAGCCCGGCUUGCUGUUGGACAUUUUGUCGUUAAAAGACAUGUCCUAAAGAUAAUGACGGUGUCUUUUGGACCCUAGAUGCAACGAGCUUUAACCAGCACGCAUUUUAGUAAAACCAUUAGACCCGGUCUUUUUAACCAAUUUUAA
This 155-nucleotide unclassified non-coding RNA is filed under the name uncultured Cladophialophora. RNAcentral describes it as "sequence contains ITS2". The record is from RNAcentral. Lineage: Eukaryota; Fungi; Ascomycota; Eurotiomycetes; Chaetothyriales; Herpotrichiellaceae.